Long non-coding RNA from Mustela lutreola (European mink), 2832 nucleotides. RefSeq lists it as uncharacterized. The transcript has 2 exons. The record is from RefSeq and is a predicted model, not a curated record. Lineage: Eukaryota; Metazoa; Chordata; Mammalia; Carnivora; Mustelidae.
GCCGAGCAUUUUAUAGCCGAGCGUGACGUCACGGGGAGCAGCCAGUGCGCGCGCGGAGGGGCGGAGCCAGCACGGUGCCCCACCUAGCGCGCAGCUCCCGGGCCUCCCCACCCGCGCUGUGGGUCUCCGCGCCGCCUCGGUGAAGGGAAGGACCCGCGGGGAAGGGUGACGCGGGCUGGACUGGCUCAGAGCGCCGAGGGUCUACCAGGACCGCUUUACCCAACCGCCUCUCCCGUUGUGGGUGCCCUGCAUCCCCUGCACCGGGAUAGGGUGUGGUGGCCCCACGGAGGAGCAGCCUCUCCCACCCCAGUCGCCGCCGCUGCCCGCGACUCAAGCUCACCUGGCCACGACGUGGCCGACCCCGGGAUCACCGCCAGCUGCGCCAUGCUCCAAAUCUCUCCCCUCGCGCAGUUGCCCCGCGGUGCAAAUUCCCACCUCCGCGCCCCUCCGGGAGCCCCAGCGUCCACAACGCACUUCAGAUUUGGGAAGGCUCAGGAUUUCUGCAACUUCAGGUUCUGAGGAAUGCCCCUUCUGUAGCUGUUAUCUGAACAAUGACCACUGUGAUACUGAGAAGGUGAGCAGAAGAGAACUUCCGCAGAUACCUACCAUCAUAGCCUCACACUGACCGGCCUCUGCACCCAUCUCUUCUGCUCCAUCUUCCCUCAGAGGAACCGUCUAUGCAACCCGGUCAAGGCCCUUCCUCUACUUUAUCCACCGACUCCAUCUUCUCUCACCAAGGCAAGGACAUUGGUUCAGUAAUUCUGCCCUUUCUUCCCUACAUGAUGACAUUCUCUCGCCCGACCAGGCAUUCCCAUCAGCACAUAAAUAUGCUAUUAUGUCUCUAAUCCAGAAAAAGUCCUUCCCCCCCUUGACCCCAUUUCUCCCUCCAGCUUCUAUCCUACAUUUCUGCCCCCUUUAUCGCAAAGUUCCUCAAAAGAAUUGUCAACACUUCCUCUCUCCAGUCAUUCCUCCUCCUGGAUCCACUUCCUCAUUCAGUUCCAGGAUAAGACACUCUGAUUUUCCUCCUCCCCCACUGGUCACUUUGUCUGAGGCUUCUUUGCUUUUCUUCCUCUUCUCCCUGACCUCUUACUGUAGGAGGGACCCAGGGCUCAGUGCUUGGGUCUCAUCUCUUCUGUCUAUUCUCACUCCCUGCUGGCCUCCUCCAGGCUCGUGGCUUUUCUCUGCUCUGCUUCUCUGCCUUCUGUCCUCCCCCCUUUCUUCUCUCUGCCCUCAUAUUGUGCAAAACAAUUGAGUUUCUUACCCACCAAGGAAGACUCUUUUUCACUUUUGGGGGGGGAUGAGGGGGGGAGAAUUUGGCUGGCUGUAGAGGGAAGAAAGCCACGUUCAUUUUCUUAUUAAUAAUUUUUGGUCCUGACGUAUACGUUAAAUGCAGUGUACAUCACAUAAGCUGUCUCUGAAUCUAAACCCCCACCUUUCAAAGUCUAGCCUAUUUCCUACAGUCAUAAUUCAAGCCAGGCAUAUGCAAAACACAAUCUUUUCCAAAUCCCAGGCUGAAAAGAAUGCCUCUUUAUAUGCAUAUCAUGUACAGCAAAAACCAAACAAAUCAUAAGAACAUCACUGGAAUUGUGUGGGAAGAGUUCUUGAAAAAGUUUCUCCUAGUCAAGUGAUGGUAAAUGGAAACUCGUUAGCUCUUCUUAAGAGCUAGUUCUCAUAAUGGCUAAUUGAAUACAUGUACAACCCCACUGGAUACCCUAUGCGUGUGGUGUCUUCCUUCUUAGUCUUUUAUUUUAAUGAGUAUAAAAUAUGAGGAAGGGGACUUGUUUUUCUCAAAUUCUUCGGCUGCAGAGUGUCUUCCUGGGUGAACCAGCUCCUUUGGGUGAUGGGUGUUCACCCAAAGGAACAGCAGCUGCUGUGCUGUGUUCGGGUGUAAGAGAGAGCGGAAGAGCUGUUGGCCGCUAUGCCAAAGCUUCCAGACUGCUGUCAAAAAACUCUUCAAACGGUUCUCUCCACUCUUAAGAACUACUGUGUUUCGUCACUUGCUACAACUGUCAUGAGAAAAGCAGUCGGGUGUUGUAGGUAAGAACUCGGGCCCUGGAGUCCCGAAGACCUAAGCAGUGUUGUCCUCCUGCAACCUCAGGCCGGCUGUCUACAUUAAUCUCUAAGCCUGAGUGGCCUUGUCUAUAGACCCAGCUAUGAAUCGUGUCUACUUCAUGGGUGAUCGUGAGGAAUGUGCUUGUCAGAGGCACUUAGCACAUGCCUGGCACUCAGUACACGUACUCAGUGCAUGUCAGCCACAACUACAACUCUCCCUGUCCUCCAGGGGUCAGUGAGCCAGUCUGUAGCAGUCUCCCUUGCCCCUCCCCCUUUAAAGAUUGAUUUAUGAGAGAGAGAGAGAGAAUAAACAGGACCGGGAGAGGGAGCCAAAACCCUCAAGCCGACUCCCCACUCAGCAAGGAGGCCAACGUGGGGCACAGCCGCAGGACCCCAAGAUCAUGAUCUGAGCCAAAAUCACGAGUCAGCCGCUUGCUGACUGAGCUACCCAGGUGCCCCAGCACCUGCCCCUUCUAAAUGUGAUUUCUAUUCUUCUGGGCUUGGAAAUCAGGUAUCAAACUUGUCUGAAAUAUGUGUUUAAAAAAAAAAAAAAAGAUUAAAUAAGCUCUGUGUGAAGACCUGCAACAGUUUUCAAACAUUUUCUUCUGUGAUGUGUAAGACACGUUCUCCUGGGCCUAACCGGGGUGAUGUGUGAUCUCCCUGGCUCAAGCUACAAAUCUUUAUUUCAGAAAAUGAGAAAAACAUUACCAUGUUUUCGUGUGUCAGAAAGGUAGAGUUAAAAACAGACAGACUAAAAUAUGUGAGCUUUAUUGAUAUUUA